This 315-nucleotide unclassified non-coding RNA is filed under the name plant metagenome. RNAcentral's name for it is "partial contains 5.8S ribosomal RNA, internal transcribed spacer 2, and large subunit ribosomal RNA". The stretch from base 1 to 105 matches the Rfam family "5.8S ribosomal RNA", at positions 50 to 154 of the family's 154-position model. The record is from RNAcentral.
GAACUGCGAUAAGUAAUGUGAAUUGCAGAAUUCAGUGAAUCAUCGAGUCUUCGAACGCACAUUGCGCCCCCUGGCAUUCCGGGGGGCAUGCCUGUCCGAGCGUCAUUGCUGCCCUUCAAGCCCGGCUUGUGUGUUGGGUCGUCGUCCCCUCCGGGGGACGGGCCCGAAAGGCAGCGGCGGCACCGCGUCCGGUCCUCGAGCGUAUGGGGCUUUGUCACCCGCUCGAUAAGGACCGGCCGGGCGCCAGCCGGCGUCUCCAACCUUUUUUUCUCAGGUUGACCUCGGAUCAGGUAGGGAUACCCGCUGAACUUAAGC